Molecule: ribosomal RNA, 1676 nt
Filed under: metagenome
Description: bacterial LSU rRNA
Rfam family: Archaeal large subunit ribosomal RNA
Source: RNAcentral
GCCGAGACUCGGGGCGCCGAAAAUGGACGGGGCUCAAGCCGGCCGCCGAUACCCCGGGGCGCCGAAAGGCGAUCCGGUAGGGGGGCGUGCCGAUGGCGUAGAAGCCCGAGGCGUAAGCUCGGGUGGAGCCGUCGGUAACGAGAAUCCUGGCGGUAGUAGCAGCGUAGUCGGGUGAGAAUCCCGACCGCCGGAAGGGCAAGGGUUCCACGGCGAUGUUCGUCAGCCGUGGGUUAGCCGGUCCUAAGGCGGCACGUAACUCGUCGCCGCCGAAAAGGGAAGCCGGUUAAUAUUCCGGCGCCGCCCGCCCGGCCGCACCGCAAGGUGCGGUUGCCGCUUAUGCGGCCCGACGCCUCGGGAUAGGCCGAGCCGGUGUCGCCAGCCGGUCCAAGCGCCGAAGCCCCCGGAGUUCCGUAAUGGAGAGAAGGGGGUGAAGGCGUGAUGGCGUAAGUCGGCCGACUCCCGGAGCCCGUGAAAAGGAGGGCGGGAGGACCGUACCGAGAACCGACACAGGUGCCCUGGCUGAGCAAGCCAAGGCGUGGCGGAACACUCCGGCCGAGGGAAAUCGGCAAAUUGGCCCCGUAUCUUCGGUAGAAGGGGUGCCUGCGGUGGUAGUUUUCAGCUGCCACCGCAGGUCGCAGUGCCUCGGGGGGGGCGACUGUUUACUAAAAACACAGGGGGCUGCAACCCCGUAAGGGUUAGUACAGCCCCUGAGUCCUGCCCAGUGCGGGUACCUGAAAGCCGGGUUCAACCGGCCGAAGGGCCCGUAAACGGCGGGGGUAACUAUGACCCUCUUAAGGUAGCGUAAUACCUUGCCGCUUAAUUGGCGGCUUGCAUGAACGGAUUAACGACCCCCCCACUGUCCCCGGCCGUAAGCCGGCGAACCCGACAUCCCAGUGAAGAGUCUGGGGACCCCCGAUGGGAAGCGAAGACCCUGUGGAGCUUUACUGCAGCCUGCCGUUGCGGCAUGGUUGGGGGUGCGCAGCGUAGGCGGGAGGCUUCGAAGCCCCGUCUCCGGGCGGGGUGGAGCCGUCCAUGAGACACCGCCCACCUCCAGCUGUGGGGCUAACCGCUUCGUGCGGGACAUCGGUAGGUGGGCAGUUUGGGUGGGGCGCCACUCCCCCGAAAAGAUAUCGGGGGAGCCCAAAGGUCGGCUCAGGCGGGUCAGAACUCCGCCGUAGAGUGCAAGGGCAAAAGCCGGCCUGACGUGAAUCCGCACAAUAAGGAUUCACGAGCCGAAAGGCGGGCCUAGCGAACCACCCUGUGCCUCUUGGUGAGGCCGGGUGACGACAGAAAAGCUACCCCAGGGGUAACAGAGUUGUCCCCGGCGAGAGUUCAUAUCGACCCGGGGGUUUGCUACAUCGAUGUCGGCUCUCCCCAUCCUGGCCGUGCAGCAGCGGCCAAGGGUGAGGUUGUUCGCCUAUUAAAGGGGAUCGUGAGCUGGGUUUAGACCGUCGUGAGACAGGUCGGUUGCUAUCUAUCGGGGGUGUCUGGGCGGCUGAGGGGAAGGAGGCCCUAGUACGAGAGGAACGGGCCUCCGGCGCCACUGGUCGACCGGUUGUCCGGCAGGGCACUGCCGGGCAGCUACGCGCCAUGCGGCUAAAGGCUGAAAGCAUCUAAGCCUGAAGCCGUCCCCGAAAAGAGCCGCCCAUAAGGGCGCGGGUAGAAGACCCGUUUGA